Molecule: ribosomal RNA, 505 nt
Filed under: uncultured bacterium
Lineage: Bacteria
Description: partial 16S ribosomal RNA
Rfam family: Bacterial small subunit ribosomal RNA
Source: RNAcentral
GACGAACGCUGGCGGCGUGCCUAAUGCAUGCAAGUGGGACGCAAGGAAACACACUGUGCUUGCACACCGUGUUUUCUUGAGUCGCGAACGGGUGAGUAACGCGUAGGUAACCUGCCUAUUAGCGGGGGAUAACUAUUGGAAACGAUAGCUAAUACCGCAUAAUAUUAAUUAUUGCAUGAUAAUUGAUUGAAAGAUGCAAGCGCAUCUCUAGUAGAUGGACCUGCGUUGUAUUAGCUAGUUGGUAAGGUAAGAGCUUACCAAGGCGACGAUACAUAGCCGACCUGAGAGGGUGAUCGGCCACACUGGGACUGAGACACGGCCCAGACUCCUACGGGAGGCAGCAGUAGGGAAUCUUCGGCAAUGGACGAAAGUCUGACCGAGCAACGCCGCGUGAGUGAAGAAGGUUUUCGGAUCGUAAAGCUCUGUUGUAAGUCAAGAACGUGUGUGAGAGUGGAAAGUUCACACAGUGACGGUAGCUUACCAGAAAGGGACGGCUAACUACGUG